RNAcentral lists this ribosomal RNA (443 nucleotides) under uncultured bacterium. Its description in RNAcentral is "partial 16S ribosomal RNA". It matches the Rfam family "Bacterial small subunit ribosomal RNA", at positions 338 to 795 of the family's 1533-position model. The record is from RNAcentral.
CCUACGGGGCGCAGCAGUGGGGAAUAUUGGGCAAUGGGCGCAAGCCUGACCCAGCAACGCCGCGUGAAGGAAGAAGGCUUUCGGGUUGUAAACUUCUUUUCUCAGGGACGAAGCAAGUGACGGUACCUGAGGACUAAGCCACGGCUAACUACGUGCCAGCAGCCGCGGUAAUACGUAGGUGGCAAGCGUUAUCCGGAUUUACUGGGUGUAAAGGGCGUGUAGGCGGGAAAGCAAGUCAGAUGUGAAAACCAUGGGCUCAACCUGUGGCCUGCAUUUGAAACUGUUUUUCUUGAGUACUGGAGAGGCAGACGGAAUUCCUAGUGUAGCGGUGAAAUGCGUAGAUAUUAGGAGGAACACCAGUGGCGAAGGCGGUCUGGUGGACAGCAACUGACGCUGAGGCGCGAAAGCGUGGGGAGCAAACAGGAUUAGAUACCCCUGUAGUC